AGCACACAUACAAAAAGUAAAUGUAAACAUAAAUACACAUAUACUUUAAUGUGACUGAAUUGAGGUACAGGUCAUGCUUCAUCACGGUAAAUGCGUUGCAAUGGUGACCAUGAGAUCUGUACCCUUU
This is a small nucleolar RNA of Dipodomys ordii (Ord's kangaroo rat), 127 nucleotides long. NCBI's taxonomy places the organism in Eukaryota, Metazoa, Chordata, Mammalia, Rodentia, Heteromyidae. The record is from Ensembl.